ACAGCAGUAGCCACGGUAAUACGUAGGUGGCAAGCGUUGUCCGGAAUUAUUGGGCGUAAAGCGCGCGCAGGCGGUUUCUUAAGUCUGAUGUGAAAGCCCCCGGCUUAACCGGGGAGGGUCAUUGGAAACUGGGAGACUUAGAGUGCAGAAGAGGAGAGUGGAAUUCCAUGUGUAGCGGUGGAAUGCGUAGAUAUAUGGAGGAACACCAGUGGCGGAGGCGACUCUCUGGUCUGUAACUGACGCUGAGGCGCGAAAGCGUGGGGAGCAAACAGGAUUAGAUACCCGUGUAGUCCCUGUCUCUUAUA
RNAcentral lists this ribosomal RNA (305 nucleotides) under uncultured bacterium. RNAcentral describes it as "partial 16S ribosomal RNA". It matches the Rfam family "Bacterial small subunit ribosomal RNA", at positions 505 to 808 of the family's 1533-position model. The record is from RNAcentral.